This 292-nucleotide ribosomal RNA is filed under the name uncultured Acidobacteriota bacterium. RNAcentral's name for it is "uncultured Acidobacteria bacterium partial 16S ribosomal RNA". Lineage: Bacteria; Pseudomonadati; Acidobacteriota. The record is from RNAcentral.
GGACUACACGGGUAUCUAAUCCUGUUUGCUACCCACGCUUUCGUGCCUCAGCGUCAGUAAUGGUCCAGCAAGCCGUCUACACCACAGGUGUUCCUCCUGAUAUCUACGCAUUUCACCGCUACACCAGGAAUUCCGCUUACCUCUCCCACACUCGAGCCCUCCAGUUUUCGGCGCACCCUCCCGGUUAAGCCGGGAGAUUUCACACCAAACUUAGAGGACCGCCUACGCACUCUUUACGCCCAGUAACUCCGAACAACGCUUGCUGCCUACGUAUUACCGCGGCGGCUGGCAC